RNAcentral lists this ribosomal RNA (650 nucleotides) under Miconia ligulata. RNAcentral describes it as "eukaryotic LSU rRNA". The stretch from base 233 to 387 matches the Rfam family "5.8S ribosomal RNA". Lineage: Eukaryota; Viridiplantae; Streptophyta; Magnoliopsida; Myrtales; Melastomataceae. The record is from RNAcentral.
GAACGACCCGCGAAUCGUCAUUGCGUAGUAGACAGAGCCCGUGAGCCCCUAACGCUCAUGGGUCUCGCGUCGCGUCGGCGCGGGUGUACUCGAGACCCGMGUSGUACCGGCGGACAAACAACGUCAGCACGGAUCGUGCCAAGGAGCUGCAUGAAGAGAAUCGUCGUCCCACGCCUUCGAUAGUCCUCGACGCGGGACGGGGGAUGUACGCAAUCUCUACUCAAGUCUAAACGACUCUCGGCAACGGAUAUCUCGGCUCUUGCAUCGAUGAAGAACGUAGCGAAAUGCGAUACUGGUGUGAAUUGCAGAAUCCCGUGAACCAUCAAUUCUUUGAACGCAAGUUGCGCCCGAAGCCAUUCGGCCGAGGGCACGCCUGCCUGGGCGUCGUGAAUCCCCUUGCCCCUAGGCACCCGCAUGAGCAUUGGCGGGGAUAUAUGCUCGGGCGCAGAAUAUGGUCUCCCGUGGGAUCGGCAUGCACGGCAUGUCGAAGGUGCGGUUGGCCGAAAAUCGAGCAUGGCGGUGACGGGCACCACGGCGUUCGGUGGAUCGAACGAGAUUGGCUGCGUCGUGGGCUCGGCAUGCGGCGGGCUCCGGACUUUGAAUUCCCCGAGUGCGAUCCCAGGUCAGGCGGGGCUACCCGCUGAGUUAAG